GGUUAAGCGACUAAGCGUACACGGUGGAUGCCCUGGCAGUCAGAGGCGAUGAAGGACGUGCUAAUCUGCGAAAAGCGUCGGUAAGGUGAUAUGAACCGUUAUAACCGGCGAUGUCCGAAUGGGGAAACCCAGUGUGAUUCGUCACACUAUCGUUAACUGAAUACAUAGGUUAACGAGGCGAACCGGGGGAACUGAAACAUCUAAGUACCCCGAGGAAAAGAAAUCAACCGAGAUUCCCCCAGUAGCGGCGAGCGAACGGGGAGCAGCCCAGAGUCUGAAUCAGCUUGUGUGUUAGUGGAACGGUCUGGAAAGUCCGACGGUACAGGGUGAUAGUCCCGUACACCAAAAUGCACAGGUUGUGAACUCGAAGAGUAGGGCGGGACACGUGGUAUCCUGUCUGAAUAUGGGGGGACCAUCCUCCAAGGCUAAAUACUCCUGACUGACCGAUAGUGAACCAGUACCGUGAGGGAAAGGCGAAAAGAACCCCGGCGAGGGGAGUGAAAAAGAACCUGAAACCGUGUACGUACAAGCAGUGGGAGCCUCUUUAUGGGGUGACUGCGUACCUUUUGUAUAAUGGGUCAGCGACUUAUAUUCUGUAGCAAGGUUAACCGUAUAGGGGAGCCGCAGGGAAACCGAGUCUUAACUGGGCGUUAAGUUGCAGGGUAUAGACCCGAAACCCGGUGAUCUAGCCAUGGGCAGGUUGAAGGUUGGGUAACACUAACUGGAGGACCGAACCGACUAAUGUUGAAAAAUUAGCGGAUGACUUGUGGCUGGGGGUGAAAGGCCAAUCAAACCGGGAGAUAGCUGGUUCUCCCCGAAAGCUAUUUAGGUAGCGCCUCGUGAACUCAUCUUCGGGGGUAGAGCACUGUUUCGGCUAGGGGGUCAUCCCGACUUACCAACCCGAUGCAAACUACGAAUACCGAAGAAUGUUAUCACGGGAGACACACGGCGGGUGCUAACGUCCGUCGUGAAGAGGGAAACAACCCAGACCGCCAGCUAAGGUCCCAAAGUCAUGGUUAAGUGGGAAACGAUGUGGGAAGGCACAGACAGCCAGGAUGUUGGCUUAGAAGCAGCCAUCAUUUAAAGAAAGCGUAAUAGCUCACUGGUCGAGUCGGCCUGCGCGGAAGAUGUAACGGGGCUAAACCAUGCACCGAAGCUGCGGCAGCGACACUAUGUGUUGUUGGGUAGGGGAGCGUUCUGUAAGCCUGCGAAGGUGACCUGUGAGGGUUGCUGGAGGUAUCAGAAGUGCGAAUGCUGACAUAAGUAACGAUAAAGCGGGUGAAAAGCCCGCUCGCCGGAAGACCAAGGGUUCCUGUCCAACGUUAAUCGGGGCAGGGUGAGUCGACCCCUAAGGCGAGGCCGAAAGGCGUAGUCGAUGGGAAACAGGUUAAUAUUCCUGUACUUGGUGUUACUGCGAAGGGGGGACGGAGAAGGCUAUGUUAGCCGGGCGACGGUUGUCCCGGUUUAAGCAUGUAGGCGGAGGUUCCAGGUAAAUCCGGUACCUUUUAACGCUGAGGUGUGAUGACGAGGCACUACGGUGCUGAAGUAACAAAUGCCCUGCUUCCAGGAAAAGCCUCUAAGCAUCAGGUAACAUUAAAUCGUACCCCAAACCGACACAGGUGGUCAGGUAGAGAAUACCAAGGCGCUUGAGAGAACUCGGGUGAAGGAACUAGGCAAAAUGGUGCCGUAACUUCGGGAGAAGGCACGCUGAUAUGUAGGUGAAGUCCCUGCGGAUGGAGCUGAAAUCAGUCGAAGAUACCAGCUGGCUGCAACUGUUUAUUAAAAACACAGCACUGUGCAAACACGAAAGUGGACGUAUACGGUGUGACGCCUGCCCGGUGCCGGAAGGUUAAUUGAUGGGGUUAUCCGUAAGGAGAAGCUCUUGAUCGAAGCCCCGGUAAACGGCGGCCGUAACUAUAACGGUCCUAAGGUAGCGAAAUUCCUUGUCGGGUAAGUUCCGACCUGCACGAAUGGCGUAAUGAUGGCCAGGCUGUCUCCACCCGAGACUCAGUGAAAUUGAACUCGCUGUGAAGAUGCAGUGUACCCGCGGCAAGACGGAAAGACCCCGUGAACCUUUACUAUAGCUUGACACUGAACAUUGAGCCUUGAUGUGUAGGAUAGGUGGGAGGCUUUGAAGCGUGGACGCCAGUCUGCGUGGAGCCAACCUUGAAAUACCACCCUUUAAUGUUUGAUGUUCUAACGUAGACCCCUAAUCGGGGUUGCGGACAGUGUCUGGUGGGUAGUUUGACUGGGGCGGUCUCCUCCCAAAGAGUAACGGAGGAGCACGAAGGUUAGCUAAUCCUGGUCGGACAUCAGGAGGUUAGUGCAAUGGCAUAAGCUAGCUUGACUGCGAGCGUGACGGCGCGAGCAGGUGCGAAAGCAGGUCAUAGUGAUCCGGUGGUUCUGAAUGGAAGGGCCAUCGCUCAACGGAUAAAAGGUACUCCGGGGAUAACAGGCUGAUACCGCCCAAGAGUUCAUAUCGACGGCGGUGUUUGGCACCUCGAUGUCGGCUCAUCACAUCCUGGGGCUGAAGUAGGUCCCAAGGGUAUGGCUGUUCGCCAUUUAAAGUGGUACGCGAGCUGGGUUUAGAACGUCGUGAGACAGUUCGGUCCCUAUCUGCCGUGGGCGCUGGAGAAUUGAGGGGGGCUGCUCCUAGUACGAGAGGACCGGAGUGGACGCAUCACUGGUGUUCGGGUUGUCAUGCCAAUGGCAUUGCCCGGUAGCUAAAUGCGGAAGAGAUAAGUGCUGAAAGCAUCUAAGCACGAAACUUGCCCCGAGAUGAGUUCUCCCUGAGACUAUAAGUCUCCUGAAGGAACGUUGAAGACGACGACGUUGAUAGGCCGGGUGUGUAAGCGCAGCGAUGCGUUGAGCUAACCGGUACUAAUGAACCGUGAGGCUUAACCUU
RNAcentral lists this ribosomal RNA (2905 nucleotides) under Klebsiella variicola subsp. tropica. RNAcentral's name for it is "23S ribosomal RNA". It matches the Rfam family "Bacterial large subunit ribosomal RNA". The record is from RNAcentral. Lineage: Bacteria; Pseudomonadati; Pseudomonadota; Gammaproteobacteria; Enterobacterales; Enterobacteriaceae.